UAGUGAGUUUGAUCCUGGCUCAGGACGAACGCUGGCGGCGUGCCUAAUACAUGCAAGUCGAGCGGAUGACAGAGGAGCUUGCUCCUCUAGAUUCAGCGGCGGACGGGUGAGUAACACGUGGGCAACCUGCCCUGUAGAUUGGGAUAACUCCGGGAAACCGGGGCUAAUACCGAAUAAUCCUUCGGACCUCAUGGUCCGAUGUUGAAAGACGGUUUCGGCUGUCACUACAGGAUGGGCCCGCGGCGCAUUAGCUAGUUGGUGAGGUAACGGCUCACCAAGGCCACGAUGCGUAGCCGACCUGAGAGGGUGAUCGGGCCACACUGGGACUGAGACACGGCCCAGACUCCUACGGGGAGGCAGCAGUAGGGAACUC
RNAcentral lists this ribosomal RNA (373 nucleotides) under uncultured Caryophanaceae bacterium. RNAcentral describes it as "bacterial SSU rRNA". It matches the Rfam family "Bacterial small subunit ribosomal RNA", at positions 1 to 364 of the family's 1533-position model. Lineage: Bacteria; Bacillati; Bacillota; Bacilli; Caryophanales; Caryophanaceae. The record is from RNAcentral.